RNAcentral lists this long non-coding RNA (851 nucleotides) under Chinchilla lanigera (long-tailed chinchilla). RNAcentral describes it as "lncRNA (ENSCLAG00000025520.1)". The record is from RNAcentral. Lineage: Eukaryota; Metazoa; Chordata; Mammalia; Rodentia; Chinchillidae.
CUGGUGUCUCAGCUCACAUGGGUGAAUGCACUGUAUGCAGAUUGGAAAUCACUCAGGUGGGAGCAUCACAGAAGUCUGGCCAGGGUGGCCAGUGAAGGCAGUCAUGUCGCACUCCCUCACACAGAUGCUGGGGCCAGCAUUCCAGAGCAAACAACCCUUCUGUGCUCGCUCCUUCUCAAGUGCCACCAGGGCCUCCACCUUUGCCCAACAGGUGGAAUGGGUGAUGGGAAGGUUUGUCUCCUCCCUCCUCGGCUCCUGGCUGGAGAUGCACACCCAGGAGGACCUCCCAGCCCCCUGUCCUCUCAACCCGCUAUAGACCCCAAGCCUGCUGAGCAAGAGCAGGGCUGAGAAGCCUGGGGUAGGUGCUGUGGGCCUGCAGGAGGAGGACGGGGCUGAACAGGUAGAAAGAACUCCCAGGUGUGGUGUACGCCCAGGAGCCUCAAGAGACCCAGCAGUCAAGAGGUGGUUGUGGUCAGGGGUACCUUCCUGGGAUGGGCUGGUGGACAGAGUUGUCUCAAGGCAGGAAUAUGGACAGUCACUGAUCUUUUCUCCUCUUCUGGCUGCAAGGCUCAAGUCCCACAUGCAGAGCCUGCGCCAGCUCUACCUGCAGCUUCCUCACCAGCUCUAGCACUGAAGUGAUCUCGCCAGCUGCAGGAACUGCUUCUCCACCAGCUCCAGACCUGAGGCCCUUGUGCUUGUGCAGCAGGUGUCACCUCCUGACCUCCAUCCAUCUGUGGCCCACUCCUGCCCAACACCCACCCUUCUUCCCCCCACCUGUGCCACUUACUGCUGUGUUUACUCAUACCCUUACUUCCCAGUGUUCUACACAUAUGUAAAUACAUUGCUUUUUA